GGAAGUAAAAGUCGUAACAGGGUUUCCGUAGGUGAACCUGCGGAAGGAUCAUUAUUGUAUAGCCGAGGUGCGAGGGCUGUCGCUGACCCGAAAGGUCGUGCACGCCCGAGUGCCCUCACACACAUCCAUCUCACCCCUAUGUGCACCACCGCGUGGGUCCCCCUUUGGCUUGUUCGGAGGGGGGCUUACGUUUUCACACAAACUUUGUAUGCAGUGUAGAAUGUAUUUUUUGUUUUUGCGAUCUCGCAAUCAAUACAACUUUCAACAACGGAUCUCUUGGCUCUC
RNAcentral lists this unclassified non-coding RNA (285 nucleotides) under plant metagenome. RNAcentral's name for it is "partial contains small subunit ribosomal RNA, internal transcribed spacer 1, and 5.8S ribosomal RNA". The stretch from base 1 to 54 matches the Rfam family "Eukaryotic small subunit ribosomal RNA", at positions 1778 to 1831 of the family's 1831-position model. The record is from RNAcentral.